Non-coding RNA from Richelia intracellularis HH01, 97 nucleotides. It matches the Rfam family "Bacterial small signal recognition particle RNA". From Rfam's summary of the family: The signal recognition particle (SRP) is a universally conserved ribonucleoprotein involved in the co-translational targeting of proteins to membranes. Archaeal SRP consists of a 7S RNA and homologues of the eukaryotic SRP19 and SRP54 proteins. The record is from Rfam. Lineage: Bacteria; Bacillati; Cyanobacteriota; Cyanophyceae; Nostocales; Nostocaceae.
GACCUGGACCUAUGCAACCAUGACACUUGAACUUUGUCAGGACCGGAAGGUAGCAGCAAUAAGAGACGCUUAUGGUAGGCUUAGUCUCCGGGUCGCC